This is a long non-coding RNA of Passer domesticus (house sparrow), 3462 nucleotides long. RefSeq lists it as uncharacterized. Lineage: Eukaryota; Metazoa; Chordata; Aves; Passeriformes; Passeridae. The record is from RefSeq and is a predicted model, not a curated record. The transcript is spliced from 5 exons.
UCUCUCUGUAACCACCGAAAUACCAUUUAACGAUAAAUAGCAGUAUCUGCAGGGCAUGGUCCUUUUGCUCUGUGUGUGCGUGCAGUGCACAACUGCUGGAGAGAGGUUUUAAAAUCAGAAUAUGAAGGUGUUGGAAUGGACCUUGCAGAUCAUCCUGUCCAACCUCCCUUGCCUCCCUCUAGACCUGGUUUCUCCAGCCUGGCUUUGAACACUGCCAAGGUUGGGGCAUCCACACCCCACCCUGGGCAACUUGUUCCGGUGUAUCACUACCCUCACAGUAAAAAAAUUCCCUAAUAUCUAACCAAAGUUUCCCUUCUUUCAGUUGGAGCUCAUUACUCAUUGUCCUGUUACUACAGCUCCUCAGAGGCCCUCUCUGGCUUCCCUGCAGGCCCCCUCCAGACACUAGAAGGUUGUUGUGAGAUCUCCACACAAUCUUCUCUUCUCCAGGUGAACAGUCCCACCUUUCCCAGCCCGUGUUCACAGGGGAAUCUACCCUGGUGAAGUGCUCCAGUUCUCUUAUUAGCUUCAUGGCCUUCCUCUGGACUUGCUCCAACACUUCCAUGUCUUUAUAUUACAGGCCUCUCUUUUGCCUUGAAAGUCACUGUUGGCAGUCAAACCUAAAAUACAAAAAUUGGUUUUAUUCAGUUAUCAAAAUAUUAUCCUAGCAAUAUUUCUCUGAAUAUGUUGUUCAAGUUGGUAUGAAUAUUGACAAGAUUUGAUUUUAGCUGAAUCCUGCAGAAAGCAGAUGCGUAUACGUAGCUGUUCUAGGCUGCAGUGUUCUGCAGUGUGCAAUGUAUGUGCAUAAACACAGGAUCUUCACAGUGCCCAAACCAACAGCACUGUGUUCUGUUUUUAGGAAAGAAUAUAUUAGAAAGCAACUAGUGCCUACUGGCAUAAUUUUUUCUGUCUAAAACUCUAAGAAAGAGGAUUCAAUUUUAAUACUAAUGACUAAUAUUAUUUUUGUUAUAACGUUUCUUCUUAUACCAUAAGUUCUUAUGCAGUGAACCAUGUCUAUAUGAUCUGAAGAUUUUGAAAUUAGAUGCUUAAUUUAUCUAUAAAAUAUAGCAGCAGUUGUUUUCUUUUUCCUAUAUCAAAAUAUUUCACUUCCAUACUGUUUCUUAUUAAUUUUAAUGUAUUUCUGUGUGCCAAAUGGAAAUGCCAUUGCUCUAUUGCUAUUCUAUGCAAUGCAAUAAAGGCUGAUAGUGUGCUGUAUUAGAUUAGUCUAAUUUUUCCUAUAGAUAGAUUGUUUUCAGAUAGGUAUGAGCAUUAAUGCCUUAUAUACUGCAUUUGACUCACCAGUACUCUAAUUUAAGGUUAUCUUUAAAUUCAAACAAUUUGUUGUAUUUCUUAGUAGCUACCCAAAAACUUCAUCAGCAUUGCUUAUAUCUUAAAAUGUUAUAAUAUGAACUGGGGUUUUUUUGAUGUGAUUUUUAGUUUUGUUAGGUGAAUAGGAUACUAAAUACAAAGAGAAAAUAAAAAUAUGCUGGAUCAGCAGAAGUAUAUAAACAGGUAUAAUGUCCUACUGAUUGGCGCAUCUCUUCUUUUUCCAUAUCAGACCUUAAACAAUUUGAACUAGAAUUCUUGACUACCUUGAGACAUAGUCAGAUACCCAAUUUGAUCUAAGUUAAUAUAAUCAUUCACAUUUCCACUUUUGAUCAAAUCAGAAAUCAUAGGAAAAGAAUGCUUUUAUGAGCUGUUUUGAGCAGAGGUGAACUAACAUGCCAACUUUGCAAAUAGCUUCUCUCUUUUCAAGUAAUAAAGCAAAUGUUAAGGAACUAGACUGUUUCAAAGGACUUUGGAAGAUUGUCAUACUUUUAUUUUUUUUCAAAUAAAGUUUGCAAUAGCUAUUUUUAAAUGCUAUUAAAGAUGACUUUUAAUAAUAUCUGUGUAAUGUUUGCUUGUUUAACAAUACAGCUACUUGUAGUAAAUCACAGUUUCUGUACACUGCUGACCACUACCCAUCCUCAGCACUUUUUAGAGGUUUCCUCAUCUGUGUUUUAAAGCUCAGAAUUUAAUAAUAUAAAUAAAAUUUUCAAAAAGUAUUACAACAGUGGCUUCCCUGGUUAGGCUGUAAACAGUCACCUCAAUUUAAAAGUCUACUAUUUUGUUUAACAUGAAGUUAUUGCAAAGUUUGCUGGUAUCUGUAAAAGAGGUAGCAUAAAUAGUCUUGUGUGAUGAGAUCAGUUCAGGUAGGCCCCUUGUGGUCAUGGAGAACACGAGGAACUGUACUUUUGUUGAAAAGGAGAAAAUCAUCCAGAUACAGAGCUAAUUGCUGAAGUGAAAGUAAAAGAGCACCAAGAAAUUUUUAUGUCAAAAUAUUUUAUGCAAAUGUAAUUGAAUUGAUGUGCAGAAUUUUUUUUGGGUGACCUGCUAUUUUAAGUGCCAUUUUUCAUGGUUUAGAAGUUUGGUCUCCCUGACACUGUCUUUUCCUAAUUUUCUUCAUAAUUCUCUUGCUGUUCCUUCUGCCUGAAAGCUUCCUGGCCCAUUUCAGCUCUGAGGUCAGGAUCUGCUCAGCCUGACUUACCUCUACUGCCCUGACCACCUCUCCUAUAAGUUCAGUGGCCAUUUUUGUGCUUAUGUGUCACAGAUACUUCCGAGCCUUUAUGACCUGUCAAGACUAAAAUCUUCUCUGUUCUCAUGGAGAAAUAGCUAUCAGCUCAAAUCCAGAAUGAGUGAAAAACACUUGGAAUUUGUCAGCACAGAUUUAUGAAGCUGAAAUAAUCUGUAACCAACCUAAUAGCUUUCUGUGGUAAGAGAAUUGGCUUUAUUAAGGCUUUCUCUCAUAAUUUUUUUCUGUUUCAAUAUUGAUAAUAGUCCUAAACAAAGCAAAUUUGGAACAUGAGAUAUUCUGAUGAUAGAUCAGUCUCUAGAAAAGUGGCUUUGGAGCAAGCUAAAUGUAGAAUGGUAAAAUGUAGAAGCAACCAGAGCUUAAGUAUAAAUAUUUGUUCAGACAUACAUACCAUCCCUUCCUACACAAGAAGUGUCGGGCAGAUGAGUGUGUAAGUAGUGCGUGAGUGGUGAUUCAUCUUUCUCCAGCCCCGUGGACACUUUAAAAGAGCUGUGAGCCCACGCUGAGGAUGUGCUCGUUGGUGGUGCUCACGCUCAGGCCGCAGUACCCUGCUCCUCAUGCUGUGCCAGCACAGCACACGCCUGCCCAGCCCUAGCUGGGUGUGCAUGUCCGAAAACCAGCCACGAUCCUAGGCAUGGCUACUUAGCUGCCUACCAGGGAGACUGUAUGGAUUUUCCUGGGGAGUCUUCUGGCUCACACUCAUGGAAAGGGAGGACUGAGCUGAUGGAUACUUUAGAGCUCUCAAAUGGAGACUGUCAGUUCAGCAACCUUCGGUGGUUUCCUGAGUUGCAGAAAACAUACACUGACCCUCUGAGGUCUCCAGGAAAGCCUUCUGGAGGAGUCCUGUGGUGUCUCUUGAUGCCUUGGUUGCUCUAUGGAUGCCUAUCCAUGGG